GUCCCAUUCGUCCUGGUGGUCUAGGACACCGCCCUUUCACGGCGGUAACAGGGGUUCGAACUAUGGGACGCCA
Molecule: transfer RNA, 73 nt
Filed under: Billgrantia gudaonensis
Lineage: Bacteria; Pseudomonadati; Pseudomonadota; Gammaproteobacteria; Oceanospirillales; Halomonadaceae
Description: Halomonas gudaonensis tRNA-Glu
Rfam family: tRNA
About the family: Transfer RNA (tRNA) molecules are approximately 80 nucleotides in length.
Source: RNAcentral